UACACGCUCCUUAGAUCCACCUUUGGGCUUUCUGUCUCUGACAGAAGACCAGCAACUUUAUCGGUUGUUUAUCGAAGGUGCAUGAGUCAUAGGCGUGUGACAUUAUCAUACCUCAGAUUUGCUACUGCUUUUCAAACAUUUGGGAUACUGUUCCUAGUGUGUGGUUUGAAAAAAAUAGUGAACUGGGACACU
This is a small nucleolar RNA of Ostrea edulis (European flat oyster), 192 nucleotides long. RefSeq annotates it as small nucleolar RNA SNORA53. Lineage: Eukaryota; Metazoa; Mollusca; Bivalvia; Ostreida; Ostreidae. The transcript has a single exon. The record is from RefSeq and is a predicted model, not a curated record.